GACGAACGCUGGCGGCGUGCCUAAUACAUGCAAGUCGAGCGAACUUGCGGGAGCUUGCUCCCAAAAGUUAGCGGCGGACGGGUGAGUAACACGUGGGCAACCUGCCCUAUAGUUUGGGAUAACUCCGGGAAACCGGGGCUAAUACCGAAUAAUACAUUUCAUCUCCUGUUGGAAUGUUGAAAGAUGGUUUCGGCUAUCGCCUGAAGAGGGGUUUGCGUCUGAUUAGGCAGUUGGUGAGGUAACGGCCCACCAAACCUACGAUCAGUAGCCGGUCUGAGAGGAUGAACGGCCACACUGGAACUGAGACACGGUCCAGACUCCUACGGGAGGCAGCAGUGGGGAAUCUUCCGCAAUGGGCGAAAGCCUGACGGAGCAACGCCGCGUGAGUGAUGACGGCCUUCGGGUUGUAAAGCUCUGUGAUCGGGGACGAACGGUCCGUAAGCUAAUACCUUAUGGAAGUGACGGUACCCGAAUAGCAAGCCACGGCUAACUACGUG
Molecule: ribosomal RNA, 497 nt
Filed under: uncultured bacterium
Lineage: Bacteria
Description: bacterial SSU rRNA
Rfam family: Bacterial small subunit ribosomal RNA
Source: RNAcentral